GUAAGCUCCACCGCUGCCACCAAGUAUGCAUUCUAGCUUCUCAAUUAUCGCACUCACUUUAUAAUUUGUAAAAAGAAUGUUAUAGCACAUGUGGCCCGUCACAAGAUUUUCGUGUAAUGACUUGCGAUUAUUGCAUUGUUUAUCAUCACGACGCGUGUUGUUGAUUAAGCAGGUUAUCGAGGUAGAGGUUGACGGGGUGAAGCAGAGGAGUGGAUUGCUCAUAAAGAAAUGCAGGUACUUGGAGAACAGCGGGCGCGUUGGGAUGUGCGUCAACAUGUGAAAGAUCCCCACACAGAGCUUCUUCACCGACGAGUUCGGCCUUCCCCUCACCAUGAAUCCAAACUUUGAAGACAUGAGAUGCGAAAUGAUAUAUGGUCGGGUGCCCCCACCACUGGAAGAAGAUCUAGUGUCGAAAUAGCCCUGCUAUCCCAGCCUCUAUGAGUGCGCCAAGAUUUGGCAACACUCUUCAAGUACCGAACCAAUCCAGCGCUGAGCUUGCACUAACAUGCAUCAUCAGUCGCAAAUUUGUUUUGCUGCUACAAUUUUUCAGGUUCCAUAUUGACGCCCUCCACUGCAAUAUGUCCCAAAUUUCAGAACUAGAGAAAGCAACGAAAACGUUCCGGAGUUCAGAUCUUGGUCGCUUUCAGUUUCUUCUGCAAGCGUUCACAAGGGUUUUGAUACAUAAAUGAUUGUGCAUGUUAUCUGAUAGGCCAGAAU
Molecule: long non-coding RNA, 717 nt
Organism: Triticum aestivum (bread wheat)
Lineage: Eukaryota; Viridiplantae; Streptophyta; Magnoliopsida; Poales; Poaceae
Exons: 3
Source: RefSeq, a predicted model, not a curated record